GACGAACGCUGGCGGCGUGCUUAACACAUGCAAGUCGAACGGAAAGGCCCUGCUUUUGUGGGGUGCUCGAGUGGCGAACGGGUGAGUAACACGUGAGUAACCUGCCCUUGACUUUGGGAUAACUUCAGGAAACUGGGGCUAAUACCGGAUAGGAGCUCCUGCUGCAUGGUGGGGGUUGGAAAGUUUCGGCGGUUGGGGAUGGACUCGCGGCUUAUCAGCUUGUUGGUGGGGUAGUGGCUUACCAAGGCUUUGACGGGUAGCCGGCCUGAGAGGGUGACCGGCCACAUUGGGACUGGGAUACGGCCCAGACUCCUGCGGGAGGCAGCAGUGGGGAUUAUUGCACAAUGGGCGGAAGCCUGAUGCAGCAACGCCGCGUGCGGGAUGACGGCCUUCGGGUUGUAAACCGCUUUCGCCUGUGACGAAGCGUGAGUGACGGUAAUGGGUAAAGAAGCACCGGCUAACUACGUG
Molecule: ribosomal RNA, 468 nt
Filed under: uncultured bacterium
Lineage: Bacteria
Description: partial 16S ribosomal RNA
Rfam family: Bacterial small subunit ribosomal RNA
Source: RNAcentral